GACAAAGAGUCACUACUACAAAUAUGUGCAAAAGUAUUACCUAUGAAAGGCCUCCUUAAUGACAUAAAUGAUUAUUCAGCAAAAAAAACCUAAUUUGUUCGAAAGGUAGUGGUCUGUUAUAACAUGAUAAAGGAUACCUCUUUUUUUAAAAGGUGGUUUUUUAAACCUUAUCAAAAGUUUCCAAUAUUAAAGAAACCACUUAUUCUUAUGAAGUAAUGACUUUGAUUUUAUAUCUUUUUUUAAAAAAAAAUCCAUAUAUACAUUUACAUGUUUUCAGGUAGUCAAUAAUAAUUGUAUUACUAAUUGUUAAUUAAAAAUAAAUCAACACACAAAUCUAUAAUCCACUAGCAAUUAAUUACCUCUUAUAUCUCUAUUGUAAAAAGGUAAAACCCUAAAUAUACUAUUCUUUAAUUACUUAAUUUUACUUUUACUAUACUUACUCCAUAAUUAACAAAUUAAAGCCAAUGCAAGCCUAUAGUAGUUCUUAACUUCUUGAUUACCAUCUUCCCUCAAACACGCACUACCCGAGCAAAAAAAAAAAAACUGCACAUAUACCCGUCUGAAUUUUGCACCACAAUUCAAUCGCCAGCAACCGUCGGAUUUACCUCGCUGGCGAAUUCGUCUGCCAGUGGAGUCGUCUUUUCUGUCGUCCAAUUACCCGAUAGAACAAAAGUCGUCUUUGUUCGCUAGUGUUCCAUUACCACCACCACGCCACAGCGACGCCAAUUCGUCCGCCAGUAUUCUGAUGCAUGUUGAUGCGUUAAUCCAAGUGAAGAUGGAAGCUUAGGAGGAGUAGUAGUAUUUGCAACAGGACUGUGCUAAUCGUACACUGAGCAUUUUGGACUUUGCAAUCACAUACACAUAGCAAAACUCUGGUGCACAUUUUGUCACAUGGCUUGGCACGCCAGGCUUUUUAAAUGUUCUGUUAAUACCAACAAUGUAGUUUUAGGAAAGGAAUACUUUUCAACAUUAUUAAGAGACGAGAUAAUGCAGCUUACUUCACAAAGAGCGUUUCUUGACCAUGCGCCGAUAACAAUGUUAGUCAUGAAGUUGUUGUUAACAUAGUCCAAAAUAGCCUUCGGUACGUUAGUAUCUUCAAGAACUACCUCUUUCAAUUGAACCUGAUGGUAAUAUUGCCAAGCGAAAAUAAUGUUUGAUUUGCUUUGAUGUGGACAUUAAGAUUUCAGAAACUAACAAGACUCUCUUUUAUACAAGCAAGUAUGUAAUUAAAUUCAUGUAUACUCUUUCCUUCUGCCUCACAUAGACUAGUCCCAUCUCUGACUACCCCAAUGCAUGCAUUUUUAGAUUAUGAUAGAGAUAAACUAUAGAGUGAAAGCUGCAAAGAAUUGUCUACUUGAGAUAUAUAAACUGAUAAAAGUUUAUAUCAGUUUAUAUACCUCAAGUAGAAGGGGGGGUGAUGAGAUUUCUUAACAUGUGUUGUCUAUGAUUUAUCAUGUUUAGAUUUUCGCCCUUUUCCUGCAAUGUGGGGUCUCUUUAGGCACGGAGUUAAUAAGAUUUUGAUAGUUAGUUAAGUUUUUUUUCUUUCAUGAAGGUAACUUUUUGGAUACAUUAGUGUAACUAUCUAAACGGUUGGCUUCUGAUUGAAAGGGGAAAAUAUUAAUAGCAAAUGGUGAAGUUCUCAGUUGUUUAUUAUGUGAUCCCUCUCCCCAAUGGGUAAAUCAUGGUCUCUUUAACUCGUGGUAGCUUAUAACUUGAAAAUGUUGAAGUAGGUUUUGGACUAAAGACUGGUGAUUCAUGUUUCUAUUACGUUAUUUUUUGUAAAUUUUAUAUUGUGAUUGGUGCACGACAAGGUAUAUGUUUGUAUUGGUUUUUCUUUCUCAUUAGAGGAGCUGCAUAAUAUCUUUCACAUGUUAUGCCAUAGAGGUUUUAUGCCUUCCCUCCAUCUAUUUUCCAAUUUUUCAUGUCUGGGUUGGGUUAAUGGGGGUUGUGCGAUGGUGAUGACACUGCCAUUAAUUUGAUAAAAUGUUAGGUUAACUUUUUUUUACUCUUUAUUGAUUAUUUAAGUAUAUAUUUUUGGUCUCUUACAAUAAGUAGCAAGGUAUUGUCUAAGCUGAUUAUUGUGGCUAAUUUCACUCUAGAUAUUUUCAAUCAUUUAUAUGAAAUUAUUCUCUCUGUUAAGUAAUAAACUUCAUGGUUGACUUGGCAGGUGUUUUCAUAAUAUAGUUGUUGACAAUAAAUAAAUUAAUUAGAAGUGGAUGGAGAGAGGAAAAGGAAGAUAAUUGUUAUGAUAGAAGGAAAAAACGGAUUAUAUGAUGGUAAGAUAAAAGGGCAACGUAAUAUUUUUACUUCCAAAGAAAGACAAUUCUUUUACAGGCUAUCAAAAUACAACAAUGUGGAGGUUUUUUCUGGGACGCAGGUCGGAGAGUACUGGUCAUAACUUCAUUUGCACUUUUUUUAAUGAACUUUAAGGUUUUGAGGGGGGAUUUAUGUUUUCGUAUUCAGUCUCCUUGUCAUUUUUAGGUUUCUCUCUUUCUAUGUGUUCUAUUGGAGUGUUCAUCUAUAAUAUUUGUGAUUCUUCAUUUAAAUUGGAGUGAAAAUCUAUACAAACAACUACCACAUGAUUUUGAUUUGCUUCUAAAAUGAAAUAUAAUGUAGAGAAUAAUGUGAGAAUUAGUUGGCUAUACAUACUGUGACUUUAUUUACUUUUGUGUUGAUGGUGUGUCUACUCUAUUCUAAUGGUUCUCUAUAUUAAUUAUAAUUAAUGCAUUAGCAGCAAGUUUUUUGACAAGUAAUUAGUGUUGGUGAUUAUAAGAAUAUUGUAAUGAAAUUAACCUACAAUUUACUUUAUUCUGCACAACGUAAUGUAUGAGUGCGACUCUUUGAAUAUAGGAAUUCUGGGUGAAUAUUAAACACACUAGAAACCAACACUUUUGGAUUCAUCAUAAGAAAUGGAUCCUAGUUGAAUUACCACGAAAAAACCUGGUGACCCGAGGUAUAUUGCUGGAGUGAAGGAAUUUAUAAAUUUUGCUGUGAAGAAUGAUGGAGGAAAUGAUAGAUUGCCUUGUCCUUGUUUUAUGUGCCAUAAUUUGUUGUAUAAGAGAGUUGAUGAGAUACUAAAUCGUUUGAGUAGAUGGACCUUUGAUAGAACAUACACCUGUUGAAUUUUUCAUGGUGAAGCUAAGGAAAAAAUUCUAUUUAUGUAUGAUGUUAGUGAAGGUUAUGAUAGUAAUGAUGGUGAUAGGUUGGAGGAAUUGAUACAUGUUGUUGAGAAUUUUUUUGAUGGUAAUCCUGCUAUGUUUGAGACCUUGUUAAGUGAUUCUGAGAAGCCUUUGUACAACGGUUGCACCAAGUACACAAGAUUGUCAUCUGUACUCAAGUUGUAUAACUUGAAAUUAGGUGGUGGUUGGAGUGAUACAAGUUUUACUCUGUUACUUGAAG
Molecule: long non-coding RNA, 3399 nt
Organism: Beta vulgaris subsp. vulgaris (sugar beet)
Lineage: Eukaryota; Viridiplantae; Streptophyta; Magnoliopsida; Caryophyllales; Amaranthaceae
Exons: 3
Source: RefSeq, a predicted model, not a curated record